Molecule: long non-coding RNA, 469 nt
Organism: Cydia pomonella (codling moth)
Lineage: Eukaryota; Metazoa; Arthropoda; Insecta; Lepidoptera; Tortricidae
Exons: 2
Source: RefSeq, a predicted model, not a curated record
CUGAACUGGUAGGACGAACUGUUAGACUCGCUAUUCCAUUUGUGCCCAAAAAUCUCCUGCGACCGCGAAGUCACAAGCUUUUGGCCGUCCCAAUUACACGCACUGUAGCACAUAAAAACUCGCCUGCUGUGCGGGCUCUAAGGCUGCUGAACUCCUUUCUGUCAUGGGCACCAGAUUGUGAUAUGUUUGCAAGUCGAUGGACGGCUGUGUAUCAGAUGUGUCUGCGGUAUUGCGAGGUGAUGGAUGAAAGUUGAUUGUGAUCUGUUUUUCCUAGUAUGUAAUCCUAUCAUAUAAUCUGAAUUGUACAGUGCUUUGGUCUCGACUGUAAUGCUUUAUACAGGGUGAUUCAUGAGACGUGAGCUGGACUAAGCCUACACAAUCAGUAAAUGUUAAUGAAUCGUUCACCAUCAUAUUUAAGUAAAACAAUCACGCUUUUUAUCUGUUAUUUAACUUUUUGUUAAGGACAAAU